UUUUAAAUAAACAAGUUAGUAAAUGCAAAACAACUGGAACAUGUUUAAGUUGGAACAAAACUUGUAUUCUUCAACUUCAUUAAAAGGGUUAAAACACUCAAUUAAUAGGUAGGGUUCAUUGGAAGUAGAAAACUAAGGAACAUUGUUGUAAACUUUGAAAAGUCCGGAGAGUCGUUUGAUAAAAGAGGAAACUCAAACUUAAAUAAAAAUAGCAAAUGUUAAAUAGGAAGGGUAAAAUGGUAAAAUGCUAAGAUAAGGUAGUUUAAAAUUCAGAAACAGGAUAACUUUCCAAAUACAUGUUGAGCAACCCUAAAAUGACCCCACCUUUCUUUUUAUGAAUUCUAAGUUGUUAAAAUCUUAUGUGUACACAAUCACCAUCAAAAUAAAGCACGAGUUUUAAUCACGUCACACCUUACUUUAAAAGAAAAGAAAUGGUUAUGACCUUGUAUAAGUGAAUGUGGUCCAAAAUACACCCUAUGCUUGUGCAAUAAUUAACAAGAUGAAACCUAUGCAUAAAAGCAUGUAACUAAAAUCUUGCAUAUGCAUCUCGUGUAGAAGCUAACCUCGUUAACGGAACAUACGAGCUUGGCCUGGAACGUGAAGAUGGACGCCCUUUUGCUGAGCUGGACGUAAUCAAGACAAAUCAAGGCCCGAACCAAAGUUCAGAAGAGCCCAAGCCUGAGUGAGGGCAAGAAGGCAAGCCCCAAAGCAUAACCCAGUUUUCUAGUUAUGCACUACUUAUGCUAGUUAUGUUUGUGCAUUAAGUUCAUAGGAGUAGCUUGAAACCCUAGGUUAAUGAUCCUAGGUACCUAUGUGCUGAAUAAUAAGGAUGACGGGCGGGGCCAGGCAAUUGGUUUUGAAUUGGUGGAUUGCCCCGCCUGUCUAGAAGAAAGCUGCUAAGGUCAAAAUGUGUUUAGAGUUGUGGUCAAGUGUUUGAAAGUACUAAGCUCAUAUCUAGUAUGGGAUGGGGAGCCUAGUACCUGAUUGAACCGUGGCGUGGACAUACUCCCCACUCUCUCUCGAACUGGGUUCCCAUGUGGCCACAUGUGGGUACAAGUGUAGCCACGGUACGGCGUCGUUCUGGAACCGUUGGGGCAUUGUAUCCAAGGGAAGUGGGACCUAGACACAUGCCGGGGAUCGAUGGGGACGGCUGAUAUAUGUGAAACCGGCAUGGUACGCAUAUAUCGUGGGUUUAGGUUCACCUUGCAAGGUUAAAAACUUGAUUCAAAUCAUCUGUUGCUCAUAGUUUGAGACUGUUUGACCGCAUUUUUGCACUGAGUAAGAAGUGGAACAAAGGAUGAUUAUUUAAUACUGAUGCUUGAAUUAAAUUGCUUGAUCACAUGCUUGAUUAGAAUAGGUUCUUACCUAGAAUGGAUAAUCAACUAGAACCUGAUGCUAAAACUUGAAAGUAAGGAUCUACUUUAGUUUCUUUUGGCAAAAUAAACC
RNAcentral lists this long non-coding RNA (1446 nucleotides) under Setaria italica (foxtail millet). RNAcentral describes it as "long non-coding RNA (SITA_LNC006944)". The record is from RNAcentral. Lineage: Eukaryota; Viridiplantae; Streptophyta; Magnoliopsida; Poales; Poaceae.